CCAUGAUCUAGUCCCGCGUCCUAUCUUCCCUGGCUGCAGCUGCUCUAUCAUUGUUCUAUUUGGCAUCAUGGAUGACUACCAUGCCCGUCCCUCCUUCCUCCGCAUAUCUAACAGGGGCUAUAUCCAGAUUGCUAGAAUGAUACAGAUUUGUUCUGUCCAAAUUUUUUUCAACUUGCAUUAUUUCACUUAUGUUGUUUUCCCCUUAUUUAUAUUUUUCUUGCAAUUUAUGUUAACUAGUUGCUGAAGAAUCGGUAGGAUUUUCUUUAUUGAUAAAUCUUUUCCUGGUUUGAAAAUAUUGUGCUACUAUUUUUCUUAGGGGUAAGGUCUGGGUACACUCUACCCUCCCAAACCCUACUAGUGGGAUCAUACUGGGUUGUUGUUGUUUCACAUCAUAUCUCGAUUGAGAAAAAGAAUGUUGGUUCUCAAAAAGAAACAAAAAAAGUCGACAAAGAUAGAGUUGGGGUUAGGCAAUCACUUGUUAAUAAUUUUUUUAAAAGGGCAGCUUGAUGCACAAAGCAUCGUGAAUUCACGCAGGAUCCGGGAAAGAAAAUCUCAAUGCCUAAGAUAUUGGAAGGAAGAAAUUAAUCACGUCGCAUAUCAGACAAUAGACAAGAUCAUUAUUCUUUUUGGAUAUAUAAUAACUAGAUUAUUA
Molecule: long non-coding RNA, 652 nt
Filed under: Nicotiana benthamiana
Lineage: Eukaryota; Viridiplantae; Streptophyta; Magnoliopsida; Solanales; Solanaceae
Description: long non-coding RNA (NBEN_LNC005585)
Source: RNAcentral